This is a long non-coding RNA of Siniperca chuatsi (mandarin fish), 1842 nucleotides long. RefSeq lists it as uncharacterized. The transcript has 2 exons. NCBI's taxonomy places the organism in Eukaryota, Metazoa, Chordata, Actinopteri, Centrarchiformes, Sinipercidae. The record is from RefSeq and is a predicted model, not a curated record.
UCAGUACCACAUGCUUCAACUAAGGAGAGCACAAACAUCCACUUUAAUAAUCAGUUUCAGCACAGUUAGAGCAGAAAGGUCUGCACACUAAUUCAUCUGCUACUGGUGUGUUUCCUAACAAGACAUCAGCCUGUUAUCUGGAGAGAGCUGGCUAGCGAAUGUAGCUACCCAGCAUUUAUUGACAGAUUGAACAAAGUAAAAUCUGAGCACUGUUCUGUCGACUCCCGAGGCUUCACCUCUCAUAACCAGAGGUGAUAUCUCAUCAACAAACGCAUACCAAGAGCUCAGUUCAGCGUGCUGAGUCUAUUAUCAGUCUGUUCCUCUUGUACAUGUGGCUGUUAAAUUCACUACUAGAUAGCCUGAGCCAGCUAGCCACAUGGAGACGAGCAGAGACAACUGAAAUCAGGACAGUCUCUUACAGGGCAGCACAUGUUCAUUUGGUGCACUUAUUCACGCCACAGUCUACAGGAUUGGCGUGACUCAAGACAGCUAAUGUAGCCAGUUCUCAUCACUGUUACUUUUGACUGAAAGUAACCUUUGUGCGUGUUGUAAUAACUUGGUUUUCAUGAUGUAGACAUUUUAUACAUCAUGCAAAACAAACAUUAGAAUGAAUUGAAUGAAUUCACUAUAUCGCCCAGCUCUACUCUGACUAGUAAAAUGUGGAGGAAAAUGUGUGUUGUCCUUAAAAAUCCUCAUAGGUGACAAUAUCUAGACAAUCACAAGGAUUUUUUUCUAGCCAUGAUGAGUGGAAGACAAUCAUGUAGCCCUGUGCUGUAUCUAAUUUUCCUUAACAGCCACGAAAAACAAAAAGGUUCCUGAUAACUGAAUUAACCUUGUACUACAGGGACAAAGAAUGUCACCAAUAUUUUAGCCAACAUGAUGCCAGAAUAAACAGCAGGGUUUUCCAUACCAUUACUAUAUUGCCUGUUAACGAAUGAAUGACUCUACAGUCUACACCUGUGCCAAAUGUUUAAGUGCAAGAGUCCAUUUUAUUUAUUGUUUUGGUUGUUUGAUUUUGUUUAUGUUUUUAUUUAGGAUGUUUUAAUAUUUUUUUCACAUUCCACUUCCAAUGUAUGAAUAUUCUUAAGGAUUUUAAGUUAAUUAAAAGGGUGUACUUGGAUUAUUACACAAUUAUUUCUGGGACAACAUAUCGUCUGACAAAAGUAGUUAUCAUGACAGGCCUAAUUGGCCAUAAUUCUCACUUUAAGAGUUGAGGCACUCAAAUACUGGCAUAAUGUCAAUAAGAAAAAAUAAACAACACAAAAUGUCAGUAAUGUUAUAGUCAGCCUCUAGUUCCCCGUGUGCUCCAAUAUGUUUCCCCUCCUUGUGUUUCCUGGCUGUCCCCUGUUCGUUCCUGUGUAUGGUGUGUAUGUGUGUGUGUGUGUGUGUGUGUGUGUGUACGUUUUGGUCUGGCUUCCUGAUCCUCUGCCUGCUGAGAUCACCGGCACACCUGUCUUCAAUCACUCAUCAGUCUCCACUGCAUAUCUACCAGGCUCUCCCACACUACCAGCGCCAGAUCGUCUCCGUACUCACUUACUCUCCGCCGGUGAUCUCAGCCACAGUCUGUCCUUGGACCUCACGCCACGCUACACGAGCUAGCUGCCACACCUGCCCUGCCGACCUCACCCCCGGAGCCUGCCGCCAAUCGGAUCCACAGCCUGGACGGCUCAGCCCAGAUCCACCACGCCUGCCAGACCAGAACCUGUCGUAUUCAGUCUCCCUCCAGCGCGUCGCCUCUCCUUCCUCGACCCGGGCCGGUCGAGUCCACGGAAGCGACAGUGAACUACGUCGGACUUCUGCACAGAUAUCAAGUUUAACAUCUAAAUAAAUCUGUUGCUAUAA